CCUGCCGGCGACCGGCGCACGGGUGAGUAACACGUAUGUAACCUGCCCCUGUCAGGGGGACAACCCGCCGAAAGGCGGGCUAAGCCCGCGUACAUGCCACCGGGGCAUCCCGGAGGCAGGAAAGGCUUCGGCCGGACAGGGAUGGGCAUGCGGCGCAUUAGGCAGUAGGCGGGGUAACGGCCCACCUAACCGACGAUGCGUAGGGGUUCUGAGAGGAAGGUCCCCCACACUGGUACUGAGACACGGACCAGACUCCUACGGGAGGCAGCAG
Molecule: ribosomal RNA, 271 nt
Filed under: uncultured bacterium
Lineage: Bacteria
Description: partial 16S ribosomal RNA
Rfam family: Bacterial small subunit ribosomal RNA
Source: RNAcentral